Molecule: long non-coding RNA, 444 nt
Organism: Neltuma alba
Lineage: Eukaryota; Viridiplantae; Streptophyta; Magnoliopsida; Fabales; Fabaceae
Exons: 2
Source: RefSeq, a predicted model, not a curated record
AAAGAGACCCAAAUUCAAGUGCUGCAAAGCCAAACAGAGGAAGCCAAGUGGGGGGAUUACGUCCAAAACCCAAUCUUGAUGGUGCCCGUGACUCAUCUGGUGUCUGAUAAUUUGGGACUCAUGUUGCCCCAUAGCAAGCCGCAAGAAGAACCCUCACAGACUUGUAAUAUGUUUUCCAAGGACAUCCAGAGGCUCACGGCUGCGUUUGGACAUAUAUAGUGACGCCGAUGAUUUUAGUAGUACAGUACAGGUGUGGUGGGUACAUUCGUAGAAACAAAGAAUCUUCCGCUCUGUCUGCAAAUUGCAUUACAGUGGUGCAUUUCUGUGUUUUCAUUUAUGCCCUUUCUUUUUUAAUCCUUAAAAAAAAUUAUUAAUGUGUGUAUAUUUUCAAUGCCAAAGCCAUAGGUUUAUUACUUUGCGUACAAUGGAAUCCGAAUCUAUUUU